This 253-nucleotide ribosomal RNA is filed under the name uncultured bacterium. RNAcentral describes it as "partial 16S ribosomal RNA". It matches the Rfam family "Bacterial small subunit ribosomal RNA", at positions 524 to 776 of the family's 1533-position model. The record is from RNAcentral.
UACGUAGGGUGCAAGCGUUAUCCGGAAUUAUUGGGCGUAAAGAGCUCGUAGGCGGUUUGUCGCGUCUGCUGUGAAAACUGGAGGCUCAACCUCCAGCCUGCAGUGGGUACGGGCAAACUAGAGUGCGGUAGGGGAGAUUGGAAUUCCUGGUGUAGCGGUGAAAUGCGUAGAUAUCAGGAGGAACACCGGUGGUGUAGACGGCUCUCUGGACCGUAACUGACGCUGAGGCACGAAAGCGUGGGUAGCAAACAGG